Molecule: ribosomal RNA, 253 nt
Filed under: uncultured bacterium
Lineage: Bacteria
Description: partial 16S ribosomal RNA
Rfam family: Bacterial small subunit ribosomal RNA
Source: RNAcentral
UACAGAGGGUGCAAGCGUUGUUCGGAAUUAUUGGGCGUAAAGCGCGUGUAGGCGGCUUAGCAAGUCGGGUGUGAAAGCCCUCAGCUUAACUGAGGAAGUGCGCCCGAAACUGCUUUGCUUGAGUACCAGAGAGGAUGGCGGAAUUCCCGAAGUAGAGGUGAAAUUCGUAGAUAUCGGGAGGAACACCGGUGGCGAAGGCGGCCAUCUGGAUGGAUACUGACGCUGAGACGCGAAAGCGUGGGUAGCAAACAGG